This 440-nucleotide ribosomal RNA is filed under the name uncultured bacterium. Its description in RNAcentral is "partial 16S ribosomal RNA". It matches the Rfam family "Bacterial small subunit ribosomal RNA", at positions 338 to 795 of the family's 1533-position model. The record is from RNAcentral.
CCUACGGGUGGCAGCAGUGGGGAAUAUUGCACAAUGGGGGAAACCCUGAUGCAGCGACGCCGCGUGAGUGAAGAAGUCUUUCGGUACGUAAAGCUCUAUCAGCAGGGAAGAAAAUGCCGGUACCUGACUACUAAUCCCCGGCCAACUACGUCCCAGCAUCCGCGGUAAGACGCAGGGGGCAAGCGUUAUCCGGAUUUGCUGGGUGUAAAGGGAGCGUAGACGGCAGCGCAAGUCUGGAGUGAAAUCCCAUGGCUUAACCAUGGAACUGCUUUGGAAACUGGGCAGCUAGAGUGCAGGAGAGGUAGGCGGAAUUCCUAGUGUAGCGGUGAAAUGCGUAGAUAUUAGGAGGAACACCGGUGGCGAAGGCGGCUUACUGGACUGUAACUGACGUUGAGGCUCGAAAGCGUGGGGAGCAAACAGGAUUAGAUACCCCAGUAGUC